GGUCCUGCCCCUGAAAACACAGGGAGUGCCAAGCCCUGUGAAGGAUCCUACCCACCUCGCCCCCAGUUCUUCAGCCCAUUCUCCUUUCGACUGCCGUCCUUUGUGCGGUGCUUGUCCAAGCCCUCCCUUGAGGGCUGACUGCCGAGACUGCAGCCCAUAUGAUGGGUGCACCGCUCUCGGGCGUCUGCGGCGCACUCUGCCGCGCGGGGAGGCAGUUACUGCUCUGCAUGCUGGGGUGACCCUGAUGUCAGGACUCAUAAAAGGCCACCUGCCAGUCAGGAGGAGAUCCCGAGGCGUGGCCGCGCAGCCACCGAAACACACACACACACACACAGACACACACACAGACACACACACGUACGUUCUUCUGUUGAAGGAGAGAUGGCUUCUCAAGCCAAAGUGAUGGAGAUCACAUUAAGAAGGUAGAUAAAGUCCGUUAUGGGCAGUUGGAGACCUACAAGGCGAGGCAAUCCACUCUUGAGCAUAACAUUGUCUGAAUCAUCAGUGAGCCUUUGAGGGAACAGGGAGAGGAAAAGAAAUUAAUAUUUAAUGAUACCAGACAUUUUGCUACGUCUCUACAUGCAUUUUCGCCUGUAAUACAACAAUCCCCCCUUCAGAGGAGGAAGCAGCCUUAAAUAACAGGUUAAAUAACUUUCUCAAGAAAGAGAGCACACGACCAGGGGAGCAGCAGACAGAGGGAGAAGCAGGCUCCCCGCUAACCAGGACCCCUCACAGCCCCCCAGUGGGGGACUUGAUCCCACGGUCCUGGGAUCAUGACCUGAGCCGAAGGCAGAUGCCCAACCAGCUGAGCAACCCACGCAUUCCUGAACUCAUAAAGAAUGAUAUGGUAGUUUUGGCUGUUGAACCCAAACUUUUGGCUUUUUAAGGUUUUGAAUGAUUUCAUAAUCCUAACAAUAUUUUACUUCAAAUAAAGCUGUUUUUAGAUAAAUUUAGGAGUAUUUCCUCGAUGUUUUGAAUAUUAAAAUGUAAUGAAAAUUAAAUUAGUAACUAAGCAGUAACUUCUGUUCUUCCCAGGCUCCCCCGCCGCGCACAUCUGCAUUGUUUCAUUUUUUUUUACUGUUUGUGAUUUAAAAAAAAAUAUGGAAGUAAUACAUGAAUGGCUCCCAUUAUAAAAGUUUGAGAUAACUCAGAAAUAAAACUUGAAAGCCCCUUACUUAGUACUUACUACACUGUACUGUAUUCCCUACACCAUGUCAGUCCUUUCUUCAGAGAUAAUUACUCUCAGUUCUUUGGCAUGUGUUUGUUUACUCCCCCUCCUUUCCUUUAAAAAAAAAAAAGUUUUACUUACAUUUUAAAAAACAAAUGUAAUCAUGCUUUAUACAUUCUGCAACUUAUUUUUUCAGUUAUUAUGUCAUUGACAUUUCCACAUGAGAGUACUUAAAAUCAACUCCAUGUUGAUUUAUUCAAUAGUUUUCCUGUUGCAGUACAUGUGAUUUAUUCAAUAAUUUUCCUGUUGAAUGACUAUUUAGACUUUUUUAGUGUGUUUUAGGAAGGAGACUCAUGUGAAAGUGCUUCUUUAGGAUGAAUUCCUGGAAGUGGAUCCAGAAUUCUAUAAUUUUAAUCAAAAUAAAUUUACUAUCAUUUUAAUUUGAGUUUUUAAAGUUUUUGGGUUUUAAAAUAAUACAUUUUAUAAAUAGGAAAUAUACGUGCAUGGUUCAGAAUUCAGAAGGCACAAAAUGGGUCAACCUCUCUCUCAUCGUGUUUCUUUUAACCAACCUGUUCUUUCUAGUGGCCACCGUUAACAUUUGUUGUAUAACCUACUAAAAUAACCUAUGCUAUAUAAAGGCGUAUAUUAUAUGACUUACAACAUUUUGCCAUUUUUUUCUCUCAAAGAAUGCCACACAUGCUAUUCCACAGAAGAAAGAUCUCUCUUGGUGAUUGUUCUGUACCAGUGCGGAGAGAACUGCUUCAUUCUUCUGUUUAGUACUGUCCUGUGUGGCUUUACCAUACUUCAUUUAACCAGUUCCAAAUUGGUGGAUAUCUAGGUUAUUUCCAAUCUUUUGUUACUAUGAUGCUGCUUGUACAUGUCAUUGUGCCCUUCUGUAUGAAGUUAAAGAGUGUAGGCAUUUAUCAUUUUGAUACAUUGUCAAACUGCAGUCCUUAGAGAUUGUUUUAUUUUCUACUCCCACCAACAAAGUAUUAGAAGACCUCAUCAAUACUGUUUUCAAACUGUUUGCCAACAUGAUAAGUAAAAAUGUUGGUUUACUUUGCAUUUCUCUUGUGGUUGAUCAUCUUUUGACAUAUAGUUGACCCUUGAACCAUGUGGGGCCUUUUAGGGGCAGUUGACAUCCCCCUCAAUUCAGCACAGUUGAAAAUCACAUACAACUUUUUGAUUCUGCCCCCAAAAUUAACUACAAAUAGCCUGCUGUUGACCAUCUGCCUUACCGAUGACAUAAAAUUGGUUAACACAUAGUUUGUAUGUUAUAUGUAUUAUAUACUGUAUUCUUACAAUAAAGUAAACUGAAGAAAAGAAAAUGUUUUUAAGAAAAUCAUAAGGAAGAGAAAAUAUAUUUAUAGUACCGUACUGUAUUUAUAGAUACAGUGAGUUUACAAUGUAUAUUUAUGGGAUGAAUCAUGUCAGUAACUAUAUCAAUAUUGUCUUAAAUGAUACAAAACAUAGUAGAUGUUACAUAUAUUACUGACACUAGACAUGAAAAAUGAAAAGAUAAUGUGAAAAAGAAAUUCAUAUUUAUUUACAAAUAUAAUGAUUUAUGCAUUGAUAACAAACAGCAGUAUGACUGUUUUAUGGUAGCCUAGUGUAAUCGAUAGGAUUGCUUCACAGUAGCCUAGCCUGUAUACUAACAAAUGAAUCGUUACAAAAAAAUUUUAUGGCAUACAGUAUUACAGUCAUAUUUAUAAUACAAUAUUAUGAAUAUAACUUAAAAAAUCAUUUACUUGGGAUUAUAGGCUGAUAGCAGUUUCUCCAGUUUUGAGAGAGAGGCGUAGUGUAGUUACAUAAUUCUUUGAAAGCAAAGUUUUGAAACAGUAAGAAAACUAACUUCUGGGAUACCUGGGUGGCUCAGUUGAUUAAGCAUCUGCCUUUGGCUCAGGUCAUGAUCCUGGGGUC
Molecule: long non-coding RNA, 3088 nt
Organism: Ailuropoda melanoleuca (giant panda)
Lineage: Eukaryota; Metazoa; Chordata; Mammalia; Carnivora; Ursidae
Exons: 3
Source: RefSeq, a predicted model, not a curated record